UUAGAAUCAGGAGCAGAUGCUAAUGGUGUUGCCUGUGGCACAGAUAUAGGAUCAGUAACUAGUGGCAAGCCAGCACUUGUAUCAGUGGCUCUAGUAGUUGGUAGAGAAAAGGGAAGCAAAUUAGUAUCCUGAGAUAGGGUAGGAGGUGCAGCAAUAGGAGCCUUGUUCGAAAACAAAGGAGGUGCCAUCUCUGAAGCUAGGGAAGGAGAUGGUGCUGACUGCAACGUUGAUUGGAGGCCUGAAGACAGCGUCAUAGGUAAACCAGUAAAAGGCAAAGAACUGGGUGCUAGAGCUUGAGAACUGCUACUAUAAGGAAACAGUGACGAAGGUGGUUCCGGCAAGCUUGAGCCCUGCAAAUUUGAUGAGCCAGCAGGUGGAGGGGCAUUAAAGUUAGGAUACGGAAUGGGUUGCGGCAGGGAACCGGGCAUAGGCAGCCCAUGAGGAGGCCGAAUCAAAGACUGUUGAUGCAACUGGGGAAGGCCAUUGGGAGGUGGGGUGUAGUAUCCUUGCCAAUACAUUGGUGGUUGAGGUGAGGCUCCCCAAGGAGCAAGAUUUCCACCAGGCUGAUACAAAGGCAUUGAGUUUUGGAAUCCCAUCCCAUGCUGCCCAGGUUGUCCAUUAUGAGAACUAAUGUCAGGCAUUGAACUGCUCACGGCGGGAGGCAAGCCACUAGAUGUUGGGAUCGGGCUAGGAUAAUGAGACUGCAAAACAGAGACAAUCGGGGCAUGAAGACACAUCUCUACAAGAUUACUCUACAACAUCUCCAUUAUAUUCACCUGAAUUAUAGCAGGAUCAUUGUUUAAGGUAGGUGGAGCUGGAGGCUGAACUGGUGGAGAGGCUUUGACUUGCAAAUCCUGCCAAUAACAAGAAGAGUCAGUGCACAAACAGAGAUAGUUACAUCAAAGCAUACGCACAAUCCUGUUUGGAUACCUUGAUAUCGGUUCCACGGAACAAUAUGUACUCAUAAACUUUCUCACUUGGAGGAACUUGAGGACCAUCUUUUUUCCUUCCUUCAGUUCCAAAUGAUCGGACUACAUACGUUGAAAAUCACACAGAUCAGUACAUACUAAGCUUAUUCAAAGAUUCACCAACAGUUUCAAGACUUUGAUUACAAUCUGAUGAGCUUAGAUAGUAGACAUGAGCACAACUUAUUAAUGAAGAUCCAAUCACAAGAGCACACAGGGAUAGAUAGAGCAUAAGAGUUAUACACUACACAUCUAACAAUCCUGAGACGGAAUCGUACCGUUUUGAAGUCCGAUACUGGAUUCAUCGGUGUUGAUGUUGUAAAGGAUGCCUUCGUAUCUGAUCUCGCUCUUGGAAGUCAAACUAAUCAAGCUCCCUACGUAAGAAUCUGCCGAGGAGGAGCUCGAUUUCGCGCCCGUGUUAUCAGUCGCCAUACCGGAUCUAUAUCUCUCUCUUUCGCCAAAUCCACAAACAAAGAGAGAGAGAAAUAAACCAGAGUCGAGAAAGGGCAAAGCAAAGAUCCCCUUCGAGAGAGAAAGCUACAGACAAUUAGGGUUUACUCUGAUUUGGGGGAGAUGAGAUCGAGAGAGAGCAUCUCUUUCUGAUUAUCCGUAAAAAAACCCCCAAGAAAAUAUGUAUAUUACCAUAAUAGCCUCGUCUAGUAACACUAGCUUUCAUCUUCUAACUAAUUGUAGACCGCCACGUGUCUAAGUACGGAGGGCCUCGCCGUCAUUCACCAAUGAUGUUCUCACAGCCAGUGGGCUACGAGCCACUCCAAUUGCACGGCUCGUGUUCGUAUUGAUUAGCCUGUAGGCUGUAUUUACAAGUGUAACCCUGUUCCUGUGAAUAAUUUACGCUCGGAGCCUGUGUUGAUUGGUUCCGUAAAACGACUGCGUUUAAGCUUAGCGACAACCACGAAGACGCACAACAAAGCCACUGAUUAGCCUUUUUCUUAUGAAGCAUUGUGCUUUAACAUUUUUUUUUAAUAUUCAUGCUGCUUUGAUACAUAACCUAUUGUUUUCUUGUAUUGACUUUUCUUGUAAAGAGCUUAUCUUCCUGUUCAAUACUGGCAACUCAGGAGAAGACCAAUACAGUUUAAUGAGGCUAACUAAAUAAAGACUUUUUUUAUUCACUGAUCUUUGUUGUUCUACAAUUACACAAACCGAGAAUGACAAAAGAAUCAACGUGUAUUGCAAACUGGAAUACAGUUCAUCAUCAUGUUCAGAGUUCAAAACCACUCCGUAUCUUCCAAGUAUAAUGGUUCUUCUGUCUCCUUGUUAAGUACUAUACACAGAAGGAGUUUACUUCACUCUGCUCUACUGGGAGAUAGAGAGAGUGAAAGUUAGAACGGACUGACCCAGUGAGCCAACUUCAACAUGAAUUCAGGCACAAGACGCCUUCUGUCUACGCUUUUACCAACCACUUCUGAGUCGCCUCCCAGGACCACUGAUACUAUAUCUUCAAACAUCUCAUCUACUCCACCUCUCAUUGGAUCCUAACAUAUAUAAACCAAGUUUCUAGAUCAAAUAUUCAGGUUCUUUUACGAAUAGACAUUCAAGACCUGCCAUUUUGUACCUGAAGAAACAGAUCCGUGUGUGUUUUCCCCUCGUAAAGGAUCACUUCUGCUUUACCUCCAAGUCUCUGGAGGGUUUCCGCAAAAGAUUUACUACAAAAAAAAAAAACAACGCACGAGAAGUUCAAUCACCAUAUCAACCACCUGAACUACAUGAGACAAGACAUGCACACACAAGGCUAUUGAAGUUUAGCCAUACCUUGCAUCUGAAGGGAUGGAGUAGUCAGCAGUACCAUGGAAUAGAAUAAUAGGUGGGAGACGAGCAAUAAUGUGUUUAAGAUUUGGAUUUUGCACUACUAGUUCAGGAGAAAACUGACUUAAUGAUUCCUCUCCUUCCAUGAUGCUGCGGAAAACAAAAGUCACACGUUAAACCUUAGGUUGCUCUACAGGUCAGGUGAGCAUCUUAAGCUAUUCCAAGAUUUGAUAUUAUACCUCAGGAAAAUGGAACGAUAGAGUCCCCUGCUAUGGAAGUGAUCUACAAGGCUCAGAAGGUUGUACCUGUAAAUCAUGAUCACAGAAAUUUCAAAGGAAAGUAAAACAGAUAAUUGUUAAGUGUAAAACAUUUUCUAUAACUUCUUAGUCUUUAGUUGGAUAUAAGACAUGAAUCUACUUGCUUCAUUAAGCUGCUCUUUGAAAUAACGCUAUGCGAUUAUCUACAACCAUUUCACGAAAAUUACUCGAAAAUAAACUUGUUUAUAACAGCUUAUUGAGACGUCUCAAUUCCAUUAUUCCAAUGUCAUUAUGAGAACUCACCAAAUGUCUGGAAUCAUACCAAAUACCGUUUGUCAAAUGUCAAUGAGUUUCUCUUCAGAUUCUGGAACUAAUUAUGUCCAGCCUGCUUUUUGACCGAAGAAAUAUACUAUAGAUUGUACCUCAGUAUCUAGUUUACGUAGCUCUGAGAACCUAGGCCUUGCAUUUUGGGAAUCUCGGUCCCCGGAGUUUGAUGAUAGGCUAUCGAAAAAGUCGUCUUUGUUGUAAACAGGCUACAUCAAUAAAACAAUUAAGGCAUAUGAGACCAGAGAGGGGGAUGGAACAUGGCGGUUUUACUUUAUUAUAAGUUUACUUGACUUACUUUGACCUCGACCUUAGGCAGCUCAGGUUCAUCAACGAUUGGGAAAUCAUCAUCACCAUCACCAUUGGUGCUCUUCCCAAGAUGACCCCAAACUUCAUCCUUAUUGAACUUUUCAUUCAUCGCCGUGAAGUCAAAAUCUUCAGUGAACUUCAUUACCUGGUGUGAUCGCUGCCAACAAGGAGGAUUAUUAGCAUACUUGGCUAUGAUUCAUGAGCUUACUUUAACUAGUAGAUGUUAGCAAAAACCAUUAAAUGCCUCGACACAUUCUAAAAAUGAGAGAGAAGAAUAUUACCCCUGCUCCUCUUCCCCUUCCUCUCCCACGUCCCCUGUAACCAUUAUAGGUUGGGAAGGAAUGCCCGUUUGGCUGAGAAAAAAAAAUCAGCAAACGAGAUCAACUAAUCAUCAAACAAUGAAGACUUGUAUGUAGACAUUCAAGAAGAAAUCUAAUACAGACCAAGGAAGGAACCAAGAGAGAUUUUCAUGCCUCUUUUACAAAGAAAAAAGAGGCUUAGGAUGGGUAUUACCACAGGUGCAAAUAUAACAGCUACAGGUUAUUCAAGCAAAUGGAAGAUCAUAUCAAGUUCGUUACUCCUCAAAAAAAAUUCUCUAGAAUUCAAGGGUCGUUCUCAUAUCAGUAAGUGAAGUAGCAAAUAUCGUUUAAAGGGAUGACAAGCAACUAAAUAGAUUUGGAAAUUUGUGUAAGUUCAAAACCUUAUGAGUUGGCCUUGCAGAGGAAGGCAAUGGCAGUAUUGGGGGUUGGGCUUCUGAUGUAACUGAAGCAGAUUGUUCCAAAGCAGCUGAUGAUGAUACUUGAACCACCUCAUCAUCUUUACCAGCGUUGUUAGAGGGUGGGGACAAAGAGACUGACGCAGAUCCAGACUGCAACAGUUGGCCAGGAGUAACCAACAAAGGUUUUGGCUUAUCUUGGCUGAUGGAACUAGAAACUUUAGAAUCAGGAGCAGAUGCUAAUGGUGUUGCCUGUGGCACAGAUAUAGGAUCAGUAACUAGUGGCAAGCCAGCACUUGUAUCAGUGGCUCUAGUAGUUGGUAGAGAAAAGGGAAGCAAAUUAGUAUCCUGAGAUAGGGUAGGAGGUGCAGCAAUAGGAGCCUUGUUCGAAAACAAAGGAGGUGCCAUCUCUGAAGCUAGGGAAGGAGAUGGUGCUGACUGCAACGUUGAUUGGAGGCCUGAAGACAGCGUCAUAGGUAAACCAGUAAAAGGCAAAGAACUGGGUGCUAGAGCUUGAGAACUGCUACUAUAAGGAAACAGUGACGAAG
RNAcentral lists this long non-coding RNA (4882 nucleotides) under Brassica napus (rape). RNAcentral's name for it is "long non-coding RNA (BNAP_LNC007138)". The record is from RNAcentral. Lineage: Eukaryota; Viridiplantae; Streptophyta; Magnoliopsida; Brassicales; Brassicaceae.